This 391-nucleotide ribosomal RNA is filed under the name Pseudocalanus sp. RNAcentral describes it as "partial small subunit ribosomal RNA". It matches the Rfam family "Eukaryotic small subunit ribosomal RNA", at positions 582 to 975 of the family's 1831-position model. Lineage: Eukaryota; Metazoa; Arthropoda; Copepoda; Calanoida; Clausocalanidae. The record is from RNAcentral.
AUUCCAGCUCCAAUAGCGUAUAUUAAAGUUGUUGUGGUUAAAAAGCUCGUAGUUGGAUCUCGGCGGUCUGAGGGCGGUUCGCUUCAGAGCGCUACUGCCCUAUAGACCGUAGUUUUGCCAGAGGUCUCAGGGUGCUCUUAACCGAGUGUCUUGCGAUGCUGGCAGGUUUACUUUGAAAAAAUUAGAGUGCUCAAAGCAGGCUUUUACGCCUGAAUAUUCGUGCAUGGAAUAAUAGAAUAGGAAGUCGUUUCUAUUUUGUUGGUUUUCGGAAAUCGACUUAAUGAUUAAUAGGGACAGUUGGGGGUAUUCAUAUUUCAGCGUCAGAGGUGAAAUUCUUGGAUCGCUGAAAGAUGAGCUUAGGCGAAAGCAUUUACCAAGGAUGUUUUCAUUA